CGGCGUCUCCCUUGUGAUUGGGUCCCGGCGCCGCCCGUCAGUGUCAACUUCGGGUUGUCUCUUGUGCUGCCUUUUCAUUGGCUGCGUUUCGAGAGGAAAAAAAAAAGAGUCCCAACGGUUCACGCCCCCCCCCCCCCCCCCCUUCUUUUUUGAAAAAAAAAAUUGGAAGCCGAGCGGUGCUCUGCGUUGGGUGGCAUUUGAGGAUAAAAUCUGGAAAAAAGCUGCCCUUCUCGCACAAUAGAGCCACUGUGCGCACAGGAGUCGCCCCGGCUGUUCCUCCGGCUCUGACCGUCUUUAAACUCGCACACAUCUGUCGGCACAGACAAGAUGAGCCCCCAAACACAGCCCUCCAGCACAGUCUCCCAUCAGCGAGCUGGAGAACUGCCCGUUCAGUGGUGCUUUCAAAUUUCAGGUCACUUCAAACUCCAGCCGUGUUGAACUGUUUUUAUUUUUUUGGGGGGGUUAUUCUCCAGGUGCCAGCUCUAAAAUGUGGUCCUUACCUCUGAGGUGACCACCGCCUGCACAGUAAACUCGAGCUGUUUCCAUCAGGGCAUUUAGACUUCCUAGACUGAAGUGCAACACAGCUGACAUUAUCUUGCCUCCUCGUGUCUAUAAGCCUGCUCAAUCGCACAGGUAAUUGUUCAGUUUUUAUUUUCUUCGUGCAUCUUAACUGAUGAGCCAACUUUUUGUCUGGUUUGCACCGUGUGGAUUAUUGAAAGCUUCCGACUUCCUCUCCAAUCUUAAGUUUUUUUUUCUUCCCGUUAAUGGAUUCAUGUUGUGCUGAGUGUACUUUUCUUGUGUACACCUGCCUGCAAACCAAAUGUCCCAACUGGGGACAAUAAAGGAAGUACUUUGCGCAUUGAAAAAUAUUCAAUGGAGAAUCUAGAAGACAUUCAUCAGUCACAGAAGCCAGAAAUGACAUCGCAAGUUAGCAUGGAAAUAUUAAAAACAACAAAAAAAAUCACUGCAAUAACCAGAUAUGAUCAUAAUACAGUAUGUACCCUUAUUAAAGUUAUUUCUGCACAGAAGAGCUCUGGGAACAACUUCGCCGACUGGAAAAUAUUCAGUGUCAAAGCGGACAUUGUUUUUAUACAGCUCCGAGUGCUUCCUUAUGCCUGGAACAAAAUGCCCAGCCAAAGCUGUCUCCCAUCGAUGCUCUGGGAUCCUUCAAGAUAGGCUGAGAUUCUGGCACUGAGGGUGAGGUUUGUUCAGUUCACCCCUGCUGUGCCUGUUCAGAUCCCUCAGCAGUUGUAAUAAGAAAGGUACGUCACCCUCUGAUGAAACAUUAUUCUCCAGGGCUGGCUUGUCUUCGUGCUUCCAAAGAACAUUUAGAUGCCGCCAACAGACUUGCAAAGUGUUCCCAAGCCAUUACAAACUCGGCUACGUCCUUACAACAGAUGCGUUCUAUAAACGAAUGUUCAAUUAAACAAAACAUCCAGGAGUGAUCCA
This is a non-coding RNA of Lepisosteus oculatus (spotted gar), 1449 nucleotides long. The record is from RefSeq and is a predicted model, not a curated record. NCBI's taxonomy places the organism in Eukaryota, Metazoa, Chordata, Actinopteri, Semionotiformes, Lepisosteidae.